UUGACACUGAACAUUGAGCCUUGAUGUGUAGGAUAGGUGGGAGGCUUUGAAGUGUGGACGCCAGUCUGCAUGGAGCCGACCUUGAAAUACCACCCUUUAAUGUUUGAUGUUCUAACGUUGGCCCCUGAUCGGGGUUGCGGACAGUGUCUGGUGGGUAGUUUGACUGGGGCGGUCUCCUCCUAAAGAGUAACGGAGGAGCACGAAGGUUGGCUAAUCCUGGUCGGACAUCAGGAGGUUAGUGCAAUGGCAUAAGCCAGCUUGACUGCGAGCGUGACGGCGCGAGCAGGUGCGAAAGCAGGUCAUAGUGAUCCGGUGGUUCUGAAUGGAAGGGCCAUCGCUCAACGGAUAAAAGGUACUCCGGGGAUAACAGGCUGAUACCGCCCAAGAGUUCAUAUCGACGGCGGUGUUUGGCACCUCGAUGUCGGCUCAUCACAUCCUGGGGCUGAAGUAGGUCCCAAGGGUAUGGCUGUUCGCCAUUUAAAGUGGUACGCGAGCUGGGUUUAGAACGUCGUGAGACAGUUCGGUCCCUAUCUGCCGUGGGCGCUGGAGAACUGAGGGGGGCUGCUCCUAGUACGAGAGGACCGGAGUGGACGCAUCACUGGUGUUCGGGUUGUCAUGCCAAUGGCACUGCCCGGUAGCUAAAUGCGGAAGAGAUAAGUGCUGAAAGCAUCUAAGCACGAAACUUGCCCCGAGAUGAGUUCUCCCUGACUCCCUGAGAGUCCUGAAGGAACGUUGAAGACGACGACGUUGAUAGGCCGGGUGUGUAAGCGCAGCGAUGCGUUGAGCUAACCGGUACUAAUGAACCGUGAGGCUUAACCUU
Molecule: ribosomal RNA, 820 nt
Filed under: Escherichia coli
Lineage: Bacteria; Pseudomonadati; Pseudomonadota; Gammaproteobacteria; Enterobacterales; Enterobacteriaceae
Description: partial 23S ribosomal RNA
Rfam family: Bacterial large subunit ribosomal RNA
Source: RNAcentral